GCUUGCUGGGGGGAUUAGUGGCGAACGGGUGAGUAACACGUGAGUAACCUGCCCUUGACUCUGGGAUAAGCCUGGGAAACUGGGUCUAAUACCGGAUAUGACUCCUCAUCGCAUGGUGGGGGGUGGAAAGCUUUUGUGGUUUUGGAUGGACUCGCGGCCUAUCAGCUUGUUGGUGGGGUAAUGGCCUACCAAGGCGACGACGGGUAGCCGGCCUGAGAGGGUGACCGGCCACACUGGGACUGAGACACGGCCCAGACUCCUACGGGAGGCAGCAGUGGGGAAUAUUGCACAAUGGGCGGAAGCCUGAUGCAGCGACGCCGCGUGAGGGAUGACGGCCUUCGGGUUGUAAACCUCUUUCAGUAGGGAAGAAGCCGCAAGGUGACGGUACCUGCAGAAGAAGCGCCGGCUAACUACGUGCCAGCAGCCGCGGUAAUACGUAGGGCGCAAGCGUUAUCCGGAAUUAUUGGGCGUAAAGAGCUCGUANGCGGUUUGUCGCGUCUGCUGUGAAAGACCGGGGCUCAACUCCGGUUCUGCAGUGGGUACGGGCAGACUAAAGUGCAGUAGGGGAGACUGGAAUUCCUGGUGUA
This 587-nucleotide ribosomal RNA is filed under the name Arthrobacter sp. AL11. RNAcentral's name for it is "bacterial SSU rRNA". It matches the Rfam family "Bacterial small subunit ribosomal RNA", at positions 78 to 677 of the family's 1533-position model. Lineage: Bacteria; Bacillati; Actinomycetota; Actinomycetes; Micrococcales; Micrococcaceae. The record is from RNAcentral.